AUCGGGUCUGUGGUUGCAAGCCGAUGCCAGUCGCAGGCAAAACGGUCCACGUAAGCCGAAAAAAAUUCCGGUGAGCAUGGUGCGGUCUAGAUGUAAGCCCGGCCGCGUUUUAUGGCGCGAGAGGAUGGCGUGAGGGCGCGAUGGCGCAGAGCAAAAUCCCGGCCGGCGAGUGUGGGGUCAAAAACCAGGUCAGCCGC
Molecule: non-coding RNA, 197 nt
Filed under: bovine gut metagenome
Description: raiA RNA
Rfam family: raiA RNA
Source: RNAcentral